Molecule: ribosomal RNA, 301 nt
Filed under: uncultured bacterium
Lineage: Bacteria
Description: partial 16S ribosomal RNA
Rfam family: Bacterial small subunit ribosomal RNA
Source: RNAcentral
CAGCCGCCGCGGUAAUACGGAGGGAGCUAGCGUUGUUCGGAAUUACUGGGCGUAAAGCGCACGUAGGCGGUUUAUCAAGUCAGAGGUGAAAGCCCGGGGCUCAACCCCGGAACUGCCUUUGAAACUAGUAGACUUGAAUCUUGGAGAGGUCAGUGGAAUUCCGAGUGUAGAGGUGAAAUUCGUAGAUAUUCGGAAGAACACCAGUGGCGAAGGCGACUGACUGGACAAGUAUUGACGCUGAGGUGCGAAAGCGUGGGGAGCAAACAGGAUUAGAUACCCCUGUAGUCCCUGUCUCUUAUAC